UACGUAGGGGGCAAGCGUUGUCCGGAAUCAUUGGGCGUAAAGAGCGCGUAGGCGGUCCGGUAAGUCCGCUCUGAAAGCCCGGGGCUCAACCCCGGGAGGCGGGCGGAUACUGUCGGGCUAGAGGCCGGAAGAGGCGAGUGGAAUUCCUGGUGUAGCGGUGAAAUGCGCAGAUAUCAGGAGGAACACCGAUGGCGAAGGCAGCUCGCUGGGACGGUACUGACGCUGAGGCGCGAAAGCGUGGGGAGCAAACAGG
Molecule: ribosomal RNA, 253 nt
Filed under: uncultured bacterium
Lineage: Bacteria
Description: partial 16S ribosomal RNA
Rfam family: Bacterial small subunit ribosomal RNA
Source: RNAcentral